Mauremys mutica (yellowpond turtle) is the source of this 413-nucleotide long non-coding RNA. RefSeq lists it as uncharacterized. The record is from RefSeq and is a predicted model, not a curated record. Lineage: Eukaryota; Metazoa; Chordata; Testudines; Geoemydidae. The transcript is spliced from 3 exons.
GCAGAGGAUGGACUCAUCUCCCCACUCAUGUGCCUUUAACCUGUCAUGGAGGGAUUAGCUGUCUUUGAGUGGUAGAAUUAUUCAGUUUUCCCAAGGGACGGCAUCCUUUGUAUCCCAGGCAUAGUGAGGAGUCACCAUGGAUGGAGGCACCAAGUGUCACAAAAAAGAACCCAAGAUUCAACCCAUGCAAGGAGAAGGGAAAAGCCACCUCAAGGAGCAACCAUCAGGGAGGAGAUAUUCAUCUUGAGAUGUACAGAGGUUAUGCACUUCGUUUCUUAUCCUGCAAGAUGCUGAGAACCAAAACUCCCAGAGAAGCCAGUGAUGGCUGGAUACCUCUCAGGAGUAGGCCAUAUAUUGGCAUUUUUAAAAUCAGUUACCCUGAAUUCCUAGUAGACAGACAUCCACAUCACAAA